CCGUCUCGGCCUCCCAAAGUGCUGGGAUUACAGGCUUGAGCCACCGCGCCUGGCCUUGCUUAUUUCUUUUGUAAUAACUAAGUCAUAUAAAUUGAGCUCACAAAAAUAUUUAUAUUAAUAAAAUUAUAAUUUAUCAUUGGUAAUGUUUGAGUUUUUGUACAUUUUUAUGUAGCAAGAAAAACAGUUUUUACUGUUAAAAAUGGUUUUUCAAAAAUCAGAGCAAGCCUAAGCCCCUUCAUUUUAUAAAUACAAUAACCUGAGGCUCAUCAGUGCUGGUGACUCACACAGGCACACACUCAGCAUUGCUGGAUGUCAGCUCAGGAUCCAGAAUGCAUUUGAACAAUUCAUGCUAAAUUAAUAAAUGCACUGUAAAAUAGGGCCAUAUUAAUCCCAAAAUAACUAAACCUGUGGAAUUUGUAAAAUAAGAUGUUUAUGAAUGAGGACAUGGCAUUUCGCCUUAGUUCUGAUUCCCCCCUUUCUGAAAGCAGAAUCUACAGUCUAUUUUCCCAUUGCUAGAUUUCAGAGGAGAGCCUGGUGUCACUUACAGCAGACAUUGCAGAUGCCUCAGCAUUUCGGAUGAAGACGCAACCAAGGAGCCUUUGAUUAGUAGUGAAAUUGUGGCACCCCAACAAUUGUGGAGUGGAAUGUCCUGCCACUCUGGAGGGAUGAUGGCUCAGGGUCAAGACUGAACUAAUUAGAAAAAAAAAAUGCACUCCAGGAAUAUCAAGUCCAAAACGAAGCUCUUCAAACCAUCUGGGAAGAGAAAACAGCAUGACAAGGAAAGGUAUAUUUGUCUGAUCCCAGGAAUCAAUAUAAACAUCCAUGAUAACCCCACCUGUUUUUUAAAUAUAUGAUUUGGAUGAAACAAGAGAAAGAGACUGAUUGUUGCUGAGUCCCUGUUGCAGUCCCGAUACAGCUGGAGAUGCCCUGUUCCCCUGCUCCCCUGCUCUCCCGCUCUCCUGCUCUCCUGCUCUCUUUAUUUUGUUGAUGCUCAUGAGGACCCUGAUGUCUGAGGAAGAAGGUUCCCGUCCAGCUCUGCCCCUGGUGUGUCAUGUGCAGGCCUUGUCAAUGCACACGAGAACCUGACAGGGUGAGUGUUAUAACCGUAAUCAUAGAAAAGAAAACGUCUCUAAAGUCUUUAGCAUCUUGACCGAGUUCAGACACUUAGCAGAGGCCUGAGUUUAGAUGCAGCCCCGUCUUGCUCUUUGACAGCCUCAGCACCACGUGCCCUGGGUGACCCACGCAGAGUCACUGACAACCCUCGUGGUUGGCUCAUGGCACAGCGUGGAGCGAAAUGGCCCACUGACCUUUUCAGACACUUGGACAAUUCGUGAUAUAGUGUAUGCGGUCACUCCCAGUGAGUUCUAUUGUUCAGUUUAAUAGAAUACCUAAUUCUGAGUUUAUUAUGAAUAAAGGGAGAUUUCUUGUGGUUUUU
Cercocebus atys (sooty mangabey) is the source of this 1435-nucleotide long non-coding RNA. RefSeq lists it as uncharacterized. The record is from RefSeq and is a predicted model, not a curated record. NCBI's taxonomy places the organism in Eukaryota, Metazoa, Chordata, Mammalia, Primates, Cercopithecidae. The transcript has 2 exons.